UUCCAGGCCCCAGGAGUUGAAGCCUGCUCUUUAUCUGGCAAAUAGAGCCCACUGUGAAAGGCUCCCCACAGUAUCUUUGCAGUUCCCAGUGCCCCUCAGCCCUGACCUGGAGAGACCUCCUCUAGGGACAAGAGGAUAGUUCAGUCUCCAGGACCCAUUCAACCCUCAUCUGCU
RNAcentral lists this small RNA (174 nucleotides) under Phascolarctos cinereus (koala). RNAcentral describes it as "TUC338 (ENSPCIG00000000152.2)". The record is from RNAcentral. Lineage: Eukaryota; Metazoa; Chordata; Mammalia; Diprotodontia; Phascolarctidae.